CCUACCGCAGGUCCGGGUCUCACGUAGUGAGACAACGGAGCCGCUUGCGGCGACGGCCCGAAGGGCGAGCAAAGCGAGUCAUCCUGCACGACCCACCA
RNAcentral lists this small RNA (98 nucleotides) under Salmonella enterica subsp. enterica serovar Enteritidis. RNAcentral's name for it is "partial RtT sRNA". It matches the Rfam family "RtT RNA", at positions 32 to 130 of the family's 130-position model. Rfam says of the family: This family represents a bacterial cis-regulatory element known as RtT RNA. The exact function of RtT is unknown although it is thought that it may be involved in changing the cellular response in relation to amino acid starvation. The record is from RNAcentral. Lineage: Bacteria; Pseudomonadati; Pseudomonadota; Gammaproteobacteria; Enterobacterales; Enterobacteriaceae.